AUGGACAGAUUCAGAGAGGCGUUGGUUUGUUGUGAUCUCUAUGAUGUCGGUUAUGUGGGAGAUAAAUUUACGUGGAGGAAUCAUAGUAAGGAUCUGAAUUCUUAUAUUUGCGAGAGGUUGGACCAUGCAGCAGCAAACACAGAAUGGUGUGAAACUUUCCCGGAGUUCUCUGUAGUUAAUGGCAACCCACGUCACUCCGAUCAUCGCCCAGUUAUUGUAUGCACAGAAGGACAAAAGAGAAGUGGCAGAAGGGGGGACCACGGGUUCCGGUUUGAAGCCUGGUGGUUGCAAGAGGCUGGAUGCAGCGAAGAGAUACAAGGAGCAUGGGAGGAAGGCUGGAUGAAGGGUGAUGGAGGGGUGGCAGGGGUUAUGGGUACUGUGGCGGGCCGUAUGAUGAAGUGGCAAAAGGAGGUGGUAGGGGAAUUGGAGGGACGACUGAAGAAGGCAAGGGCGGAUCUAGAGAGGUGUAUGAGAGAGCCUGUCUCCGAGCAGAAGGUUAGAGAAGAGGCUGAGCUGAGGUGUGUGUGGUAA
RNAcentral lists this ribosomal RNA (531 nucleotides) under Triticum aestivum (bread wheat). RNAcentral's name for it is "partial small subunit ribosomal RNA". Lineage: Eukaryota; Viridiplantae; Streptophyta; Magnoliopsida; Poales; Poaceae. The record is from RNAcentral.